This 253-nucleotide ribosomal RNA is filed under the name uncultured bacterium. RNAcentral's name for it is "partial 16S ribosomal RNA". It matches the Rfam family "Bacterial small subunit ribosomal RNA", at positions 524 to 776 of the family's 1533-position model. The record is from RNAcentral.
UACGUAGGGAGCAAGCGUUGUCCGGAAUCAUUGGGCGUAAAGCGCGUGUAGGCGGUUCAGUAAGUCUGCUGUGAAAGUCCAGGGCUCAACCCUGGGAUGCCGGUGGAUACUGCUGGGCUAGAGUACGGAAGAGGCGAGUGGAAUUCCCGGUGUAGCGGUGAAAUGCGCAGAUAUCGGGAGGAACACCAAUUGCGAAGGCAGCUCGCUGGGACGUUACUGACGCUGAGACGCGAAAGCGUGGGGAGCAAACAGG